GGGCUCAUAACCCGAAGGUCGCAGGUUCAAAUCCUGCCCCCGCAA
Molecule: transfer RNA, 45 nt
Filed under: Aeribacillus pallidus
Lineage: Bacteria; Bacillati; Bacillota; Bacilli; Caryophanales; Bacillaceae
Rfam family: tRNA
About the family: Transfer RNA (tRNA) molecules are approximately 80 nucleotides in length. Their secondary structure includes four short double-helical elements and three loops (D, anti-codon, and T loops).
Source: Rfam by way of RNAcentral